GAUCUGAUAGCACAACCGGUAGUGCAUCUGCUGAAAAUAACCAGGAGGCAAUGAAAUUAAGCAGAAGACCCUCGUUCGACUCGGCGUCAGGUCA
Molecule: non-coding RNA, 94 nt
Organism: Mycena metata
Lineage: Eukaryota; Fungi; Basidiomycota; Agaricomycetes; Agaricales; Mycenaceae
Source: the annotation of a GenBank genome assembly